Molecule: long non-coding RNA, 560 nt
Filed under: Anas platyrhynchos platyrhynchos (common mallard)
Lineage: Eukaryota; Metazoa; Chordata; Aves; Anseriformes; Anatidae
Description: lncRNA (ENSAPLG00000028251.1)
Source: RNAcentral
UCCUGACUGAAACCCUUCUGUGCCCCCAGAGAUAAUGCUUUCUCAUGGAGGAAAGGGAUGAUCUGCAUGGUGUACAUGUGCAUUUCUAGCAGCUGUCACAUGCUAUUUAAUUCUAUAGUCAAUCCUUUUUAUUUGAGAUUACUGACACCUCUGAAGAAGGCCAAGCAAAAAUGGCAGUUGUAUUCUCCCACAAAACAACAAAGCAGUACCAGCCAAGUUUGAUGUUUCCCUGAGAGGUCCCCGAGGCCUGAUGAUGUGAAGCAUCAAGAAAACAAUGGGAGCAGUAGAGAGCGCUGCUGCUGACAUGAUGCUCUUUGGAGGGAAUGGAGCUAUUUCCUUGCUUUGAAGCAAAAGUGUCACUUGCAGUCCAUAUUCUAUUGAUAGUCGCAGAUAAAUAUGUCAUCUCUCAGUCCUGGAAAAGGAUGCAAGAGGUAGGGAGCAGGACCUACAGAAAAGAUAGCUCAAUUACAGCUGCUCCUUUCUGCCAGUUCUGAUUUCCAAAAUAUAUUCCCCACACAAAUUUUUCCAGCAAGAAAGAACGCUGAGGAGGUCAAUGAGAU